This 1023-nucleotide ribosomal RNA is filed under the name Acidimicrobiales bacterium. Its description in RNAcentral is "partial 23S ribosomal RNA". It matches the Rfam family "Bacterial large subunit ribosomal RNA", at positions 53 to 1086 of the family's 2925-position model. The record is from RNAcentral. Lineage: Bacteria; Bacillati; Actinomycetota; Acidimicrobiia; Acidimicrobiales.
AGGACGUGAUAAGCUGCGAUAAGUUUCGGGUAGGUGCAAAUAACCGUCUGAUCCGAAAAUUUCCGAAUGGGGCAACCCAGCAAGUUGAAGACUUGUUAUCCUUUUUAGGAGGCAAACCCGGAGAACUGAAACAUCUAAGUACCCGGAGGAAGAGAAAACAAUAGUGAUUCCCGUAGUAGCGGCGAGCGAACUGGGAAUAGCCCAAACCAAUUUUGUUACGGCAAAAUUGGGGUUGUAGGACUACAUUGGUUCAUGUGUGCUGAAGUAGAAUAUACUGGAAAGUAUAACCAUAGAGGGUGAUAGUCCCGUAAACGUAAGAUUGCAUUAUGACGAGUAGUAUCCUGAGUAGCGCGGAACAUGUGAAAUUUUGUGUGAAUCUGCCGGAACCAUCCGGUAAGGCUAAAUACUCCUGUGAGACCGAUAGUGAACUAGUACCGUGAGGGAAAGGUGAAAAGUACCCUGAACAAGGGAGUGAAAUAGAAUCUGAAACCGUACGCUUACAAGCGGUCGGAGCCCAUUAGGGUGACGGCGUGCCUUUUGCAUAAUGAUCCUACGAGUUACUCCUCUCUAGCAAGGUUAAAGACUUAAGGUCUGGAGCCGGAGCGAAAGCAAGUCUGAAUAGGGCGAAUUAGUUAGAGGGGGUAGACGCGAAACCAAGUGAGCUACCCAUGGGCAGGUUGAAGCUUCGUUAAUCCGAAGUGGAGGACCGAACCAGUACACGUUGAAAAGUGUUUGGAUGACUUGUGGGUAGGGGUGAAAGGCUAAUCAAACUUGGAAAUAGCUCGUACUCUCCGAAAUGCAUUUAGGUGCAGCCUUGAUAUUAUUGUCAUAGAGGUAGAGCUACUGAUUGGAUGCGGGGGCUUCACCGCCUACCAAUUCCAGACAAACUCCGAAUGCUAUGAAAUGUUUUUCAGCAGUGAGGGCAUGGGUGCUAAGGUCCAUGUCCGAGAGGGAAACAACCCAGAUCAUCAGCUAAGGUCCCUAAAUUAUAAUUAAGUUGCAGAAAACGAGGUUUGAUUGCUU